This 500-nucleotide ribosomal RNA is filed under the name uncultured bacterium. Its description in RNAcentral is "partial 16S ribosomal RNA". It matches the Rfam family "Bacterial small subunit ribosomal RNA", at positions 355 to 849 of the family's 1533-position model. The record is from RNAcentral.
UAGGGAAUCUUCCACAAUGGACGCAAGUCUGAUGGAGCAACGGCCGCGUGAGUGAAGAAGGUCUUCGGAUCGUAAAGCUCUGUUGUUUGGUGAAGAAGGAUAGAGGCAGUAACUGGUCUUUAUUUGACGGUAAUCAACCAGAAAGUCACGGCUAACUACGUGCCAGCAGCCGCGGUAAUACGUAGGUGGCAAGCGUUGUCCGGAUUUAUUGGGCGUAAAGCGAGCGCAGGCGGAAUGAUAAGUCUGAUGUGAAAGCCCACGGCUCAACCGUGGAGCUGCAUCGGAAACUGUCAUUCUUGAGUGCAGAAGAGGAGAGUGGAACUCCAUGUGUAGCGGUGGAAUGCGUAGAUAUAUGGAAGAACACCAGUGGCGAAGGCGGCUCUCUGGUCUGCAACUGACGCUGAGGCUCGAAAGCAUGGGUAGCGAACAGGAUUAGAUACCCUGGUAGUCCAUGCCGUAAACGAUGAGCGCUAGGUGUUGGGGCACUUUACCGGUGCCUC